This is a long non-coding RNA of Aedes aegypti (yellow fever mosquito), 477 nucleotides long. RefSeq lists it as uncharacterized. NCBI's taxonomy places the organism in Eukaryota, Metazoa, Arthropoda, Insecta, Diptera, Culicidae. The transcript has 3 exons. The record is from RefSeq and is a predicted model, not a curated record.
UGAGUACGCCCCUGGCGUAGCUGCGCAUCUUCCAUCCAACAAUCUGGCCCACUCAUACCAGCCCAACCAGGUAUAGUACAGUCCCUCUUUUCUCUAGAACGUUGGCCGAACGUCAUAGGCAAUAUGUUAUUGUAGGAACAAUAGAGCGAACAGAAGACAACCCACGUUGAAUUAGAUGUUGUGCAAACCAAGAAAUUAACUAAAUCUAAACAUAACUUUAUUGUAUAUUUACGUUGAUUUGUAACGUGGCAACUUAUAGUAGUGCCGGCUUAAAACUAAAUGAAUUCAUUCUAACCUAAAGCUACGCUACUCUAAACAUACAUGCAAGAUAUAUGUACGAUCACAGAAGAUAGCAUAGACAGCGCCAAGCAUCGAUUUUUAUCAUUGACCCUAUGUACAAACUUACCGUGGACCCUGCACAGUGGGACUAAACGUAAGUAGUAAUGGUAAAAAAUUGUUUAACUCCGUUUGAUCUUU